Molecule: microRNA precursor, 78 nt
Filed under: Schistosoma margrebowiei
Lineage: Eukaryota; Metazoa; Platyhelminthes; Trematoda; Strigeidida; Schistosomatidae
Description: mir-3492 microRNA precursor family
Rfam family: mir-3492 microRNA precursor family
Source: Rfam by way of RNAcentral
AGCCUUCUGAACCCAUGCCGAGAUUUCGUCAGAAGCCAAACCAUCAGGAGUAAUGAGACCCCCAAGAUAAGUGAAGCA